CGGGUGAGUAACACGUGGGCAACCUGCCCAAAAGAGGGGGAUAACACUUGGAAACAGGUGCUAAUACCGCAUAACCAUAGUUACCGCAUGGUAGCUAUGUAAAAGGUGGCUAUGCUAAACCGCUUUUGGAUGGGCCCGCGGCGCAUUAGCUAGUUGGUGGGGUAAAGGCUUACCAAGGCAAUGAUGCGUAGCCGAACUGAGAGGUUGAUCGGCCACAUUGGGACUGAGACACGGCCCAAACUCCUACGGGAGGCAGCAG
Molecule: ribosomal RNA, 259 nt
Filed under: uncultured bacterium
Lineage: Bacteria
Description: partial 16S ribosomal RNA
Rfam family: Bacterial small subunit ribosomal RNA
Source: RNAcentral